AAAAGUAGCGAAGUAUGUGAGCCAUGUGCCGAGAAAAGCCGCUAUUGUUUUAUAUGUGCCCGUACCGUAAACCGACACAGGUGGAUGAGGAGAGAAUCCUAAGGCCGACGGAAGAAGCAUUGUUAAGGAACUCGGCAAAAUGACCCCGUAACUUCGGGAGAAGGGGUGCCCACUUCAGGGUGGGCCGCAGAGAAUAGGCUCAAGCAACUGUUUAGCAAAAACACAGGUCUAUGCGAAACCGUAAGGUGAAGUAUAUGGGCUGACGCCUGCCCGGUGCUGGAAGGUUAAGAGGAGAGGUUAGUCGCAAGAUGAAGCUUUGAAUUUAAGCCCCAGUAAACGGCGGCCGUAACAAUAACGGUCCUAAGGUAGCGAAAUUCCUUGUCGGGUAAGUUCCGACCCGCACGAAAGGCGUAAUGAUUUGAGCACUGUCUCGACAAUGCAUCCGGUGAAAUUGAAGUACCAGUGAAGAUGCUGGUUACCCGCGCCAGGACGGAAAGACCCCAUGGAGCUUUACUCCAGUUUGGUACUGGGAUUCGGUACUGCAUGUACAGGAUAGGUGGGAGACUGAGAAAUUGGAACGCCAGUUUCAAUGGAGUCACUGUUGGGAUACCACCCCUGCAGUAUUGGGUUUCUAACCAGCCGCUGUGAUCCAGCGGUGGGACAAUGCCAGGCGGGGAGUUUGACUGGGGCGGUCGCCUCCGAAAGGGUAUCGGAGGCGCUCAAAGGUUCCCUCAGAAUGGUCGGAAACCAUUUUAAGAGUGCAAAGGCAGAAGGGAGCUUGACUGCGACACCGACGGGUGGAGCAGGUACGAAAGUAGGACUUAGUGAUCCGGUGGCAUAAAGUGGGAUUGCCAUCGCUCAACGGAUAAAAGCUACCCUGGGAUAACAGGCUUAUCACUCCCAAGAGUUCACAUCGACGGAGUGGUUUGGCACCUCGAUGUCGGCUCAUCGCAUCCUGGGGCUGUAGCAGGUCCCAAGGGUUGGGCUGUUCGCCCAUUAAAGCGGUACGCGAGCUGGGUUCAGAACGUCGUGAGACAGUUCGGUCCCUAUCCGGCGCGGGCGGAGGAUAUUUGAGAGGAGCUGUCCUUAGUACGAGAGGACCGGGAUGGACGGACCACUGGUGUAUCUGCUGUCGACCAACGGCAUGGCAGAGUAGCCAAGUCCGGAAGGGAUAAACGCUGAAGGCAUCUAAGCGUGAAGCCCCCCUCAAGAUCAGAUAUCCCUCACAUAAGUGAGUAAGAUCCCUUGAAGAGUACAAGGUAGAUAGGGCAGAGGUGGAAGCACGGUAACGUGUGGAGCUGACUGUUACUAAUCGAUCGAGGGCUUGACC
This 1330-nucleotide ribosomal RNA is filed under the name metagenome. RNAcentral describes it as "bacterial LSU rRNA". It matches the Rfam family "Bacterial large subunit ribosomal RNA", at positions 1579 to 2925 of the family's 2925-position model. The record is from RNAcentral.